GUAAGGUAUGAAAGAGAAAAUUUAGCACUUUCCUUGACAAGGAUGAAAGAGGUCGCAGUGGCCUUUACAACACAUAUACAGUUAACGCACUGCAACCUACUUAGUGGCAUCUCUAAACAAGUUUUU
Pseudophryne corroboree (corroboree frog) is the source of this 126-nucleotide small nuclear RNA. NCBI's taxonomy places the organism in Eukaryota, Metazoa, Chordata, Amphibia, Anura, Myobatrachidae. The record is from RefSeq and is a predicted model, not a curated record.